UGCCCAAGAGAUCGGGAUAACACCUGGAAACAGAUGCUAAUACCGGAUAACAAUAGAUGAUGCCUAUCAACUGUUUAAAAGAUGGUUCUGCUAUCACUCUUGGAUGGACCUGCGGUGCAUUAGCUAGUUGGUAGGGUAACGGCCUACCAAGGCGAUGAUGCAUAGCCGAGUUGAGAGACUGAUCGGCCACAUUGGGACUGAGACACGGCCCAAACUCCUACAGGAGGCAGCAGUC
RNAcentral lists this ribosomal RNA (235 nucleotides) under uncultured Lactobacillus sp. RNAcentral describes it as "partial 16S ribosomal RNA". It matches the Rfam family "Bacterial small subunit ribosomal RNA", at positions 127 to 355 of the family's 1533-position model. Lineage: Bacteria; Bacillati; Bacillota; Bacilli; Lactobacillales; Lactobacillaceae. The record is from RNAcentral.